AGCGAACGCUGGCGGCAGGCUUAACACAUGCAAGUCGAGCGGGCAUCCUUGUGGUGUCAGCGGCAGACGGGUGAGUAACGCGUGGGAACGUGCCCUUUGGUUCGGAAUAACUCAGGGAAACUUUAGAUAAUACCGGAUACGUGAGAGAGCAGAAAGGCUUAUCUGCCGAAGGAUCGGGCAGCGUCUGAUUGGCUAGUGGGUGAGGUUACGGUUCACCAAGGCGACGAUGAGUAGCUGGUCGGAGAGGAUGAUCAGCCACACUUGGGCUGCGGCACGGCCCAGACCCCUACGGGGGGCAGCAGUGGGUGAUAUAGUGCGAUGGAGGCAACCGUGGUCCAGCCGUGCCGCGUAAGUGGUGACGGCGUUAGUGUUGUGAAGCUCUUUGCUCCGGGACGAUAAUGACGGUACCGGAUGAAUAAGCCCCGGCUAACUACGUG
RNAcentral lists this ribosomal RNA (437 nucleotides) under uncultured bacterium. RNAcentral's name for it is "partial 16S ribosomal RNA". It matches the Rfam family "Bacterial small subunit ribosomal RNA", at positions 28 to 507 of the family's 1533-position model. The record is from RNAcentral.